CAUGAAACCUCAUCCUAAGGGUCUCCUUAGAAUGGACUUGACUGUUGCCUGAUGGCUCAGUUUAAAUGACUUAGCGGUGGACGCGUUGCUCUAAGCGUAAUAAGUUUCGCUUCUAGUAAAGUGGUCGCUGCUGCUAAUCUGAACUUCGGUUCACUUUAAUCUUCGACCUCAAAUCAGGUAGGACUACCCGCUGAACUUAA
Molecule: unclassified non-coding RNA, 200 nt
Filed under: soil metagenome
Description: partial contains internal transcribed spacer 2 and large subunit ribosomal RNA
Source: RNAcentral